UUGUCUUUAGUUGCCAUCAUUAAGUUGGGCACUCUAAAGAGACUGCCGGUGUCAAACCGGAGGAAGGUGGGGAGUGACGUCAAGUCCUCAUGGCCUUUAUGACCAGGGCUACGACACGUACUACAAUGGCAGGUACAAAGGGCAGCCACUUAGCGAUAAGGCGCGAAUCCCAUAAAACCUGUCUCAGUCCGGAUUGGAGUCUGCAACUCGACUCCAUGAAGUUGGAAUCGCUAGUAAUCGCGGAUCAGCAUGCCGCGGUGAAUACGUUCCCGGGCCUU
Molecule: ribosomal RNA, 278 nt
Filed under: uncultured Desulfocapsa sp.
Lineage: Bacteria; Pseudomonadati; Thermodesulfobacteriota; Desulfobulbia; Desulfobulbales; Desulfocapsaceae
Description: partial 16S ribosomal RNA
Rfam family: Bacterial small subunit ribosomal RNA
Source: RNAcentral